This 377-nucleotide ribosomal RNA is filed under the name uncultured Chloroflexota bacterium. Its description in RNAcentral is "bacterial SSU rRNA". It matches the Rfam family "Bacterial small subunit ribosomal RNA", at positions 521 to 896 of the family's 1533-position model. Lineage: Bacteria; Bacillati; Chloroflexota. The record is from RNAcentral.
UAAUACGUAGGCGGCGAGCGUUAUCCGGAUUUAUUGGGCGUAAAGAGGGCGUAGGCGGUUUUUCAAGUCGAUUGUGAAAUCUCCCGGCUUAACUGGGAGGGGCCAGUCGAUACUGUUAGACUUGAGGGCAGUAGGGGGAGGUGGAAUUCCCGGUGUAGUGGUGAAAUGUGUAGAUAUCGGGAGGAACACCAGUGGCAAAGGCGGCCUCCUAGGCUGUUACUAACGCUGAGGCCCGAAAGCGUGGGGAGCAAACAGGAUCAGAUACCCUGGUAGUCCACGCUGUAAACUAUGGACACUAGGUAUAGGGAGUAUCGACCCUCUCUGUGCCGUAGCUAACGCAUUAAGUGUCCCGCCUGGGGAGUACGGCCGCAAGGCUA